GGGAUACAGGGUUGUCAAUAUUAGAAAACAACCCCGUAACAUGGUUUUAUUUGUCAAUAUUACGAAACAACCCUGUAAGAGGUGUCUAUUUGUCAAUAUGAGAAAACAACCCGGUAAGAGGGGUAUAUUGGUGAAUAUUAGAAAACAACCCGUGAAAGGGGUAUGUUUGUCAAUAUUAGAGAACAACCCCGUAAGUGCAGUAUAUCUUUC
RNAcentral lists this long non-coding RNA (210 nucleotides) under Ricinus communis (castor bean). RNAcentral describes it as "long non-coding RNA (RCOM_LNC003442)". The record is from RNAcentral. Lineage: Eukaryota; Viridiplantae; Streptophyta; Magnoliopsida; Malpighiales; Euphorbiaceae.